Molecule: ribosomal RNA, 253 nt
Filed under: uncultured bacterium
Lineage: Bacteria
Description: partial 16S ribosomal RNA
Rfam family: Bacterial small subunit ribosomal RNA
Source: RNAcentral
UACGAAGGGGGCGAGCGUUGUUCGGAUUUACUGGGCGUAAAGGGCGCGCAGGCGGCCAUUCAAGUCAGGCGUGAAAGCCCCGGGCUUAACCUGGGAGGUGCGCUUGGGACUGGGUGGCUAGAGAUCGGGAGAGGAGAGUGGAAUUCCCAGUGUAGAGGUGAAAUUCGUAGAUAUUGGGAAGAACACCGGUGGCGAAGGCGGCUCACUGGCCCGUAACUGACGCUCAUGCACGACAGCGUGGGGAUCAAACAGG